RNAcentral lists this ribosomal RNA (253 nucleotides) under uncultured bacterium. RNAcentral's name for it is "partial 16S ribosomal RNA". It matches the Rfam family "Bacterial small subunit ribosomal RNA", at positions 524 to 776 of the family's 1533-position model. The record is from RNAcentral.
UACGGGGGGGGUAAGCGUUGUUCGGAAUUACUGGGCGUAAAGGGCUCGUAGGCGGCCAACUAAGUCGGACGUGAAAUCCCUCAGCUUAACUGGGGAACUGCGUCCGAUGCUGGAUGGCUUGGAUUUGGGAGAGGGAUGCGGAAUUCCAGGUGUAGCGGUGAAAUGCGUAGAUAUCUGGAGGAACACCGGUGGCGAAGGCGGCAUCCUGGACCAAUAUUGACGCUGAGGAGCGAAAGCCAGGGGAGCAAACGGG